GCCAGGGGUCAGAGCCAGAACAAGGAACCAGAGACCAAGAUGAAGGAGGAAACAGAGUUAUCUAAUCCCUCCUUGGGAGAGCAGGCUGACCUCAUGCAUGCCAUGGCAAUUUUCUACAGUCCUUUCAUUUUGUUUCUUCUUAUUCUUUUAUCAGGCACAUGAAAGAUCUACAGCAAAAAUCAUAUGCAACUUACAUAAAACCUUUUUAGUGAGUCAAAUCUGAAGGUAGAAGCAUCGAUGAUUAAGGAACAGAAAGGAAAGAGCGCAUUUCCUUUUUUUUCUCCUAGA
This is a long non-coding RNA of Mauremys reevesii (Reeves's turtle), 288 nucleotides long. RefSeq lists it as uncharacterized. The transcript has 3 exons. NCBI's taxonomy places the organism in Eukaryota, Metazoa, Chordata, Testudines, Geoemydidae. The record is from RefSeq and is a predicted model, not a curated record.